AGCAAUUAUACAGCGAAACUGCGAAUGGCUCAUUAAAUCAGUUAUCGUUUAUUUGAUAGUACCUUCCUACUUGGAUAACCGUGGUAAUUCUAGAGCUAAUACAUGCUAAAAAUCCCGACUUCGGAAGGGAUGUAUUUAUUAGAUACAGAACCAAUGCCCUCCGGGGCUCUCUGGUGAAUCAUAAUAACUCCGCGGAUCGCACGGCCUUGCGCUGGCGAUGGUUCAUUCAAAUUUCUGCCCUAUCAACUUUCGACGGCUGGGUAUUGGCCAGCCGUGGUGACAACGGGUAACGGAGGGUUAGGGCUCGACCCCGGAGAAGGAGCCCGAGUAACAGCUACUACAUCCAAGGAAGGCAGCAGGCGCGCAAAUUACCCAAUCCCGACUCGGGGAGGUAGUGACAAUAAAUACUGGUCCAGGGCUCUUUUGGGUCUUGGAACUGGAAUGAGUACAAUUUAAAUCCCUUAACGAGGAACAAUUGGAGGGCAAGUCUGGUGCCAGCAGCCGCGGUAAUUCCAGCUCCAAUAGCGUAUAUUAAAGUUGUUGAGGUUAAAAAGCUCGUAGUUGAACCUUGGGCCUGGCUGGCCGGUCCGCCUCACCGCGUGCACUGGUCCGGCCGGGUCUUUCCCUCUGGGGAACCGCAUGCCCUUUACUGGGUGUGUCGGGGAACCAGGACUUUUACUGUGAACAAAUCAGAUCGCUCAAAGAAGGCACUCGCUCGAAUGCAUUAGCAUGGAAUAAUAGAAUAGGACGUGUGGUUCUAUUUUGUUGGUUUCUAGGACCGCCGUAAUGAUUAAUAGGGACAGUCGGGGGCAUCAGUAUUCAAUUGUCAGAGGUGAAAUUCU
RNAcentral lists this ribosomal RNA (842 nucleotides) under Dictyochaeta brevis. RNAcentral's name for it is "SSU rRNA". It matches the Rfam family "Eukaryotic small subunit ribosomal RNA", at positions 68 to 920 of the family's 1831-position model. The record is from RNAcentral. Lineage: Eukaryota; Fungi; Ascomycota; Sordariomycetes; Chaetosphaeriales; Chaetosphaeriaceae.